AUUGAACGCUGGCGGCAGGCCUAACACAUGCAAGUCGAGCGGAAACGAAGGGAGCUUGCUCCCAGGCGUCGAGCGGCGGACGGGUGAGUAACACGUGAGAAUCUGCCCAUUAGUGGGGGACAACUCGGGGAAACUCGAGCUAAUACCGCAUAAUCCCUACGGGGGAAAGCAGGGGACCUUUUGGCCUUGCGCUGAUGGAUGAGCUCACGUCGGAUUAGCUUGUUGGUGAGGUAAAGGCUCACCAAGGCGACGAUCCGUAGCUGGUCUGAGAGGAUGAUCAGCCACACUGGGACUGAGACACGGCCCAGACUCCUACGGGAGGCAGCAGUGGGGAAUAUUGGACAAUGGGCGAAAGCCUGAUCCAGCCAUGCCGCGUGUGUGAAGAAGGUCUUCGGAUUGUAAAGCACUUUAAGUUGGGAGGAAGGGUUGUAGAUUAAUACUCUGCAAUUUUGACGUUACCGACAGAAUAAGCACCGGCUAACUCUGUGCCAGCCGCCGCCGUAA
This 504-nucleotide ribosomal RNA is filed under the name uncultured bacterium. RNAcentral describes it as "partial 16S ribosomal RNA". It matches the Rfam family "Bacterial small subunit ribosomal RNA", at positions 30 to 523 of the family's 1533-position model. The record is from RNAcentral.